CAAAAAAUAGUUUAAUGAAAAAUAUUAAUUUUGGAGAUUAAAGAUAUAAUAUAUAAUUUAUUUUUUUGA
Molecule: transfer RNA, 69 nt
Filed under: Vespula flaviceps
Lineage: Eukaryota; Metazoa; Arthropoda; Insecta; Hymenoptera; Vespidae
Description: tRNA-Pro
Source: RNAcentral